CACUUCCUACGGGGGGCAGCAGUGAGGAAUAUUGGUCAAUGGACGCAAGUCUGAACCAGCCAUGCCGCGUGCAGGAUGACGGCUCUAUGAGUUGUAAACUGCUUUUGUACGAGGGUAAACCCCGAUACGUGUAUCGGGUUGAAAGUAUCGUACGAAUAAGGAUCGGCUAACUCCGUGCCAGCAGCCGCGGUAAUACGGAGGAUCCGAGCGUUAUCCGGAUUUAUUGGGUUUAAAGGGUGCGUAGGCGGAGUGUCAAGUCAGCGGUAAAAUUUCGGGGCUCAACCCCGUCGUGCCGUUGAAACUGA
This 305-nucleotide ribosomal RNA is filed under the name uncultured bacterium. Its description in RNAcentral is "bacterial SSU rRNA". It matches the Rfam family "Bacterial small subunit ribosomal RNA", at positions 333 to 636 of the family's 1533-position model. The record is from RNAcentral.